CCUACGGGUGGCAGCAGUGGGGAAUAUUGGACAAUGGGGGGAACCCUGAUCCAGCCAUGCCGCGUGUGUGAAGAAGGUCCUCGGGUUGUAAAGCACUUUCAGUGAGGAAGAACGCCUGGUGGUUAAUACCCAUCAGGAAAGACAUCACUCACAGAAGAAGCACCGGCUAACUCCGUGCCAGCAGCCGCGGUAAUACGGAGGGUGCGAGCGUUAAUCGGAAUUACUGGGCGUAAAGCGCGCGUAGGUGGCUUGAUAAGCCGGUUGUGAAAGCCCCGGGCUCAACCUGGGAACGGCAUCCGGAACUGUCAAGCUAGAGUGCAGGAGAGGAAGGUAGAAUUCCCGGUGUAGCGGUGAAAUGCGUAGAGAUCGGGAGGAAUACCAGUGGCGAAGGCGGCCUUCUGGACUGACACUGACACUGAGGUGCGAAAGCGUGGGUAGCAAACAGGAUUAGAUACCCUGGUAGUC
This 465-nucleotide ribosomal RNA is filed under the name Vreelandella stevensii. RNAcentral's name for it is "partial 16S ribosomal RNA". It matches the Rfam family "Bacterial small subunit ribosomal RNA", at positions 338 to 795 of the family's 1533-position model. Lineage: Bacteria; Pseudomonadati; Pseudomonadota; Gammaproteobacteria; Oceanospirillales; Halomonadaceae. The record is from RNAcentral.